GGGUUCAUCCGUUGGUCGGGCUUUUUUGGUCUGUACUGGCGUGAUGGGUUCCUACCUUCUGAAUAACCGGCAUGUCAUUAAUUUGGUGUUAUGGGGAGUUAGGACUGUUACUUUGAAAAAAUUAGAGUGUUUAAAGCAGGCUUUAGCUUGAAUACAUUAGCAUGGAAUAAUGAAAUAGGACGUUCGAACCUAUUUUGUUGGUUUCUAGGAUCAACGUA
Molecule: ribosomal RNA, 218 nt
Filed under: Campeiostachys nutans
Lineage: Eukaryota; Viridiplantae; Streptophyta; Magnoliopsida; Poales; Poaceae
Description: Elymus nutans partial small subunit ribosomal RNA
Rfam family: Eukaryotic small subunit ribosomal RNA (bases 49-218)
Source: RNAcentral